Molecule: unclassified non-coding RNA, 476 nt
Filed under: Hevea brasiliensis (rubber tree)
Lineage: Eukaryota; Viridiplantae; Streptophyta; Magnoliopsida; Malpighiales; Euphorbiaceae
Source: RNAcentral
UUCAUUGAGUUUGUUUCUCGUGCAGCAGCGGAGAGGAUCUUGCAGACAUACAAUGGUGCAUUAAUGCCAAAUACUGAUCAGAAUUUCAGGCUAAAUUGGGCUACUCUUGCAGCUGGUGAGAGACGUCAAGAUGAUGGCCCUGAUUAUACAAUUUUUGUUGGAGAUUUGGCUGCUGAUGUCAAUGAUUACCUGUUGCAAGAAACAUUUAGAGCUGUUUACCAAUCUGUGAAAGGUGCAAAAGUUGUCACUGAUAGGAUCACUGGGCGCUCCAAGGGCUAUGGGUUUGUGAGGUUUGAUGAUGAAAAUGAGCAAAGACGUGCCAUGGUUGAAAUGAAUGGACAGUACUGUUCUACUAGGCCCAUGCGGGUUGGGUCAGCUGCUACAAAAAGGCCUGCAGUGCAGCAAUUUCAGAAUGCUUCCUUUCAGAAUACUCAAGGAAACCAGGGAGAGAAUGAUCCAAAUAAUACAACUAUAUU